ACUCCGAAACUGCAUUCGAUACUGCCGUGCUUGAGGACUGGAGAGGAGACUGGAAUUUACGGUGUAGCGGUGAAAUGCGUAGAUAUCGUAAGGAAGACCAGUGGCGAAGGCGGGUCUCUGGACAGUUCCUGACGCUGAGGCACGAAGGUCAGGGGAGCAAACGGGAUUAGAUACCCCGGUAGUCCUGAUAGUAAACGGUGCACGUUUGGUGUGGGAGGAUUCGACCCCUUCUGCGCCGGAGCUAACGCGUUAAACGUGCCGCCUGGGGAGUACGGUCGCAAGAUUAAAACUCAAAGAAAUUGACGGGGGCCCGCACAAGCGGUGGAGCAUGUGGCUUAAUUCGAUGCAACGCGAAGAACCUUACCUGGCCUUGACAUACAGCGUGACAGCCGGUGAAAGCCGGUGACGGCCCG
This 413-nucleotide ribosomal RNA is filed under the name uncultured bacterium. RNAcentral's name for it is "bacterial SSU rRNA". It matches the Rfam family "Bacterial small subunit ribosomal RNA", at positions 612 to 1021 of the family's 1533-position model. The record is from RNAcentral.